RNAcentral lists this ribosomal RNA (600 nucleotides) under uncultured bacterium. RNAcentral describes it as "partial 16S ribosomal RNA". It matches the Rfam family "Bacterial small subunit ribosomal RNA", at positions 737 to 1335 of the family's 1533-position model. The record is from RNAcentral.
UUUUUAAAAAAUAAAGGGAGGGGGGGGGGUUUCGCCCAGGAUAUUGAUUCCCUUGUAGGCCCCCCCGGAAAAAAGAAUGAUGCCCGCGUUUUGGAUUAUACUGGGAGCGGCCAAGAGGAAAUCGUUUAAGCAUCCCACCCUGGGGAGUACGCCGGCAACGGUGAAACUCAAAGGAAUUGACGGGGGCCCGCACAAGCGGAGGAACAUGUGGUUUAAUUCGAUGAUACGCGAGGAACCUUACCCGGGCUUGAACUGCAGGUGAACGAUACAGAGAUGUUGAGGCCCUUCGGGGCACCUGUGGAGGUGCUGCAUGGUUGUCGUCAGCUCGUGCCGUGAGGUGUCGGCUUAAGUGCCAUAACGAGCGCAACCCUUUUCUUUAGUUGCCAUCAGGUGAUGCUGGGCACUCUGGAGAUACUGCCACCGUAAGGUGUGAGGAAGGUGGGGAUGACGUCAAAUCAGCACGGCCCUUACGUCCGGGGCUACACACGUGUUACAAUGGGAGGUACAGAGAGUCGGUCAGUGGCAAUACUGAUCUAAUCCUAAAAGCCUUCCUCAGUUCGGAUUGGGGUCUGCAACCCGACCCCAUGAAGCUGGAUUCGC